ANCAGCCGCGGUAAUUCCAGCUCCNAUAGCGUAUAUUAAAGUUGUUGCAGUUAAAAAGCUCGUAGUUGAAUUUCGGGGUCAGCAGGUUGGUCGUGCCUCCUGGUACGCACUGGUUUCGCUGAUUCCUCCUUUCUGAAGACCGGUAAUGUCAUUAAUUUGGUGUUGCAGGGAAACAGGACUGUUACUUUGAAAAAAUUAGAGUGUUUAAAGCAAGCUAACGCUUGAAUACAUUAGCAUGGAAUAAUGAAAUAGGACGUUUGAUCCUAUUUUGUUGGUUUCUAGGAUUGACGUAAUGAUUAAUAGGGAUAGUUGGGGGCAUUAGUAUUCAAUUGUCAGAGGUGAAAUUCUUGGAUUUAUUGAAGACUAACUACUGCGAAAGCAUUUGCCAAGGAUGUUUUCAUUAAUCAAGAACGAAAGUUAGGGGAUCGAAGACGAUCAGAUACCGUCGUAGUCUUAACCAUAAACUAUGCCGACUAGGGAUCGGAUGAUGUUAAUUUUUUAAUGACUCA
This 509-nucleotide ribosomal RNA is filed under the name uncultured fungus. RNAcentral's name for it is "SSU rRNA". It matches the Rfam family "Eukaryotic small subunit ribosomal RNA", at positions 569 to 1078 of the family's 1831-position model. The record is from RNAcentral. Lineage: Eukaryota; Fungi.